Non-coding RNA from Oncorhynchus mykiss (rainbow trout), 1021 nucleotides. The record is from RefSeq and is a predicted model, not a curated record. NCBI's taxonomy places the organism in Eukaryota, Metazoa, Chordata, Actinopteri, Salmoniformes, Salmonidae.
UCAACUCCUUGUAGAGUCAACAUGGGCCAGCAUCCCUGUGGAACGCUUUCAACUCCUUGUAGAGUCAACAUGGGCCAGCAUCCCUGUGGAACGCUUUCAACUUCAUGCCCUGAGUUCAUGCCCUGAGAAUGUAGGCUGUUCUGAGGGCAAAAGGAGGUGCAACUCAAUAUUAGUAAGGUGUUCUUAAUGUUUUGUACACUCAGUGUGUACUAUAAUGCAUUGUGCCUCUCAAGGGGGUGGAAACUGAGGCUAGACUGGGCCUGACUGAAGGCUGGCUGGCCUGAUGCAUUAUGACCUGAAGCUCACAGGCAUUUACAAUGCCCUCCACCAAUCCCCUGGACUGUUACUGUUAGGUUGAAUGCCCUCCACCAAUCCCCUGGACUGUUACUGUUAGGUUGAAUGCCCUCCACCAAUCCCCUGGACUGUUACUGUUAGGUUGAAUGACUAACGAUGAACCCUACCUACAGUGAUUUGCUCUGACAGCAUUUUCUAUGUUAUUUUGACUAAUGAGUAACAUUUAAGUAUUUUUUUAGAGAUACUCAUGUCAACAAAUGAAUUUAGUUUAUUUUACAGGGAGAGGUGUAUGAACAGGGGAUGGACACUAUGAGGAAAUGGGAGGGGAGAGAUGAUGUCAAAUAGUUUUAUAACCUGAAUGAUGAACCAUGUCUCUGACAUUUUGUAUUUUAUUGGAGCUGUGGAUGUGGCUAGCUCUGGUCCAGGGGGUUAGUGCAUUCCUCGCUGACGCCCUGGACCAGAGCUAGUUGUGGCUAACUGUGGUGGAGAGAAAUAGAAUUUUAAAAUGCUGUAAUUUCAAGUAAAUAAGAAAAGAAACCCAAGACCUUACUUUAAAGACAAGAUCAAAGCUGCUCUCCCUAAUGAGGAGUUGUACAUAUACAUGUAUUUGAACAUAGUAUUAUUUGCAAUAUUAUAAUGUACAGAAUUGUAUUUAUAAUGUAUCUCAACAAACUGUUUUAAUUGGUACAAAGAUGUUCUAGAAUACAGAACGUUUACAAUCUAAACA